GUGAAAAGCAGAACUGAAAAACAGUGCCACGAACUACACAGCGCACACAGCAAGCGAUCUGAUUGGAUAUAAACCUUCUUUCCAACUGUUGGACGGUCCCUCACCUGGCGCCUGAUCGGAUAUCUGAUUGGUGAGUUUGGCUCGCAUCAUUUUAGCAAGAUAAAGGACAUUUCGCUUGAUCCACUUAAUAAAUCGUGCUAUUCGAUCGAUCGCCUCCGCGAUCUUGUUCGUAUCGUUGUCCGCGGUCGGCGCCGAUAGAUUCGACGAACCGAAGUUGCUCAGCAACAAAGCCAAGAAGAGAUUCAGCACCUGUUCGUUUGCACAUCAAACAAUUUUCAUUUCGUCUCGGGCUCGCGUGUUGUUUCUAUCUUUAGAUGAUAAGGAGGACCAUUGGUUUAGUUGAUUACCGAUGACAACAGUAGCCAGAAAGAAUGGUAUGCAAGAGACGUCGCCCACAAGCAUACAAUCCCACAUAGACUCGAUCCACUCUCCACAGAGUACGCGAA
Molecule: unclassified non-coding RNA, 506 nt
Filed under: Bombus terrestris (buff-tailed bumblebee)
Lineage: Eukaryota; Metazoa; Arthropoda; Insecta; Hymenoptera; Apidae
Description: misc RNA ENSBTSG00005022467.1
Source: RNAcentral